CACCAUUUCAUCACUAACCCCCAAAUUCACACCAUUUUCAUCACAAACCCCGCGUCCACUUCCCCCAAAUUCCCCAUUUCAUCACUAACCCCCCAAAUUCACACCAUUUUCAACCGUCAUUCUCCGCUGCUGUUGUCACUCCAUUACGGUUGCACCGCAGUUGCUCCUCUUGCUCGCGCCACCGUUGCGCUCUGUUUCUGCCGUGCUGCUAUCGCACCCACGUUCGCACCGCCGUCGCUCCUCCUACUUUGGUCCUUCUCCACUCUCUCUAUAUCGAGCUCAUAAGAACCAGUUUGGAGGCCUUCUAACUACUGGCAUUUUGGCCUUCUCCGGAACGGUUAUGCAGCAAGGAAAUUUGCUAAACAAGGACUUAAACCUGGGGAGCUGGCAAUCAUAUCCAAAGAAGUGGUAGCACCUUAUGAAUGUCCUGCACUAAGCAAGGCUUACCUUUUUCCUGAGUCCUCCGCUAGACUUACUGGUUUCCAUGUUUGUGUUGGAAGUGGAUGAGAAAGAUUGCUUCCUGAGUGGUACAAUGAGAAAGGUUUAAUGUUUGCUUCUAUCUCUCUUCUAUACACCUCUGCUAGCAAAUCAGCAGUGGGUUCAAAUCCAUCAAUUUAUAAUUGAAAUCUUCCAGAAAAGCACAGCCCCAGGUAGAAAACUCCCACCUAUUCUGCAGUGGCCAGGACAACCAUAGAGUUCUCAAAGGGAGGAUGAUUCUGACGAUCUUGAUGACUCGGAUGAUUAUUUAGACGAGUAUGAGUAGGGUUAUUUACUUUGCUUUGAAUAUUUUGUAUUAUUAGUGGAUUGAAAUUUAAACGAAUAUAAGUCUAAGUUUAGUUAUUUAUCUUGUCUUGAGUCCUUAUGUUAGAGGAUUAUUUAUUGUUUUGAUAAGUUUGU
Non-coding RNA from Arachis ipaensis, 897 nucleotides. The record is from RefSeq and is a predicted model, not a curated record. Lineage: Eukaryota; Viridiplantae; Streptophyta; Magnoliopsida; Fabales; Fabaceae.